UACGUAGGGUGCAAGCGUUAAUCGGAAUACUGGGCGUAAAGCGUGCGCAGGCGGCUUUGCAAGACAGAUGUGAAAUCCCCGGGCUUAACCUGGGAACUGCAUUUGUGACUGCAUGGCUGGAGUGCGGCAGAGGGGGAUGGAAUUCCGCGUGUAGCAGUGAAAUGCGUAGAUAUGCGGAGGAACACCGAUGGCGAAGGCAAUCCCCUGGGCCUGCACUGACGCUCAUGCACGAAAGCGUGGGGAGCAAACAGG
Molecule: ribosomal RNA, 252 nt
Filed under: uncultured bacterium
Lineage: Bacteria
Description: partial 16S ribosomal RNA
Rfam family: Bacterial small subunit ribosomal RNA
Source: RNAcentral